AGUCGACCCGAGUCAUCACCAGACGAACAACAGUUUGCCUCACGUUUAAAAGAACCCAGUCUUAUCAGAACUAAAAGCUCUAUUUUGUUUCUUCGCUUCACCCAUGGCUUACACGAUUACCUCGACGUUGUUUUUCCCCGGUUCGACAACCAUUGGAGGAGGUGUGUGGAAUGCAAUCUCAUGACCUCAGCAGCUCAGCGAAUGAACAGGACACGAUGUCGGAUGUCUUUCGGCAGGUUCAAGAUUUGUUGAUUGAAUUGGACGAGGUCGGCUUGAAGAUCGUUGUGCAAAUGGGCGUGGCUUUCAAGUUCCCUCUGAUUGGAGUCGCGAUCUCGAAUUACGCGUCAUGAUUAGGAUCCAACUCUUCCUUGUCGAAUUCCCAAGGGUUUCGCUCUUUUGGACGACGGUGCCCUUCGACCGUGCAAGGAUCAAAACAAACUCACGUUCAAACCUUCGCAUAAUAGAGUUACGACCGACAUGGACCCAAAUAUUGGUUCAGUUCCCAGAAAGAAAUUGAAUAUGGUGAUUGGUGUGAAGCAACUAAUGUCGUGGAGUAUCGUAAGACGUGGUACUUCUCGAGCAGCUCCAUCAAUUCCAACAGUUGAUUGCAGCUUUGGCCACGACGAAAUUUGAAAAGUCCCUUUUGUCAAAAGCAAAAUACAAACUGAGCCAAGAUAUUGAGGCAGGACGCUCCCACAACAAAGUUGACAAAAGAACUGAAGCAACAGCAAAUCCUAUCUGGAAUUUUGCUAGAGAUGUCUACAGACGGUAAAAAACGUUGAGAAAGAAGAAGAAACCUAACUUAAAGUAGAGCUUGAAUAACCAUCUACACCAAAAGCCAACGGAACUUAUUUUCUACGCUCCCCAAGAAGGCAUUAUUAUGUCUUGCCCUUGCUGACGACUUAUGGUUCCGGUGGAGUCAUCAUGAAGGAAAGCAAUCCUUUUCCAAAUCAAAAUCUCCUUCCUCAACCGCCAUCAUUUUCAAGUUCGGCAUUGGAGGCCAUUCCCCAAACCAGACCCAAAAUUUGUCUUUAGGGUCAAUCGAGUUCAACCGUAUCAAAAAGUAGAGGGCACACGAGAGACUUUUGAAUCUUGUGAUAAACCGAAAUCAAUCAACAUGAAGGAAUUCAAAGCGUGUACUACGUGCUACCCUAACCCAUCGACUGAAGAACACCAACACGUGUUAAUCGUCUAGCAUUUUCCGGCGGAAACAAGUUGACAUAGUUGGUGAUUUCGCAGCAGUUAGGACAACUGGAAUUUUUAUGGGCUGGCGUAUUCUUAUCACCGAAGAUGGAAAAGCAUGUUUUAGGUUGUUAACUUGAUGGUCAAUGUCUUCUGGAACUCUGAGAUGAAGAUUUCGCGUCCGCCCCACCUGCCCAGCUCCUGGUGAAGCCCGACCAGCCCCAACUCAAGCACAGGCCCAAGCACAACCUGCUGCUGCCAACAACGGAACGAGAAUCAAAACUAUUUUUGUAAAACAGUGGAACACUCGAUGGACAGAAAACAAGUCCAAUUGUUAUACUGGAACAACACUGCAGUGGACAACUUCAACUUAGCUCAGUCAAUGGGCAACAGGUUCUUAUCCGGUCUGUUGGAAGUCCCGCAUCCGCUGGAUCAGUUGCAGUCGAAUCGGACGAUGCACCAACCGUAUUUAUUGGCCAUCUUUUGCCGUCAGUCGUAAGAUGACCUACAAUUUUACAUCGGGUGGAUGCCGUGAAGAUUAAUUACAAGGCUUCCCUCAUGAACGGACGACCACAUCAGACCACAUCCGGCAAAUCGACUGCGUCCGUCCACUCUCAACGUGAUCUCCCUCAAAUUAAUACUUUGUGCAGUUGCAUACGUUCGUCAGUCCUGUCGUGGAAUCGUAACGCGGCAUUUCGAUACAUGAAAUGCAACCAGUUAAAAAUGUGUUCCUACACUGGAUUAGCGGCAUGUUUAUUGAUAUAGUUCAGGCUGGCAGCAAUGAUAUAUUCAAUUAGAUCUCAUCAGCAUGACACCUCAGGGAAAUUCUAGUUAGGCCAUCAAAGAAACCUAGACGACCGUCUGAAGAGCCAUCAUUAAAUUUGAAACCGUAUCGAAUGGGCUGUACAAGGUUCAAUGACAGUUGAGAAUGAAUGUUGCUUGGAGUUGAGCAACAACAUUUGCCGGCCACAGCAUUUUCCGACAGAGCGACCAGCAAUCAAAAGUGGCAGCUUGUGAGUGUGAAUGUCUUCACGAGGGCGUCCUUCCCGUUUUUCACACCUGAUGUCAACUUUUAGUUUCUCUGCGGAUUGAGCUUCAGAAGACGCCCGGCAGUAUUUCCCAUCAGGCUUCAAGGUUCAAGGACUGACGCCGAUUAUCACUUCCAGGUUUGGAGUUUUAGAUGUUUGUGGUGCGUUGAUUGUUUCUUGGUAAGAUAUCUGGUAAGAAAUCUUCAGUAAGGUAUCAUUAGUUUUACUAAGGUAAUUAAUGUUUGUUAAAUUAGUCUAUUUCUUAAACAUAUUCCAUUAAAUGUUUGGGUUAUUAAAUCACUUAACUGCUCUUGAUUCAGUAAAAUUAUAUUUCUACAGAUGUUUUACAAAAUGUUGGCAAAAGAUCUGUCAACCAGGUUAAGUUAAAGCUGUUUGCUGUUGCUGUCUUAGUUUUACUUGCCACCUUGCUGCUUGCUAACUGCAUAAAAUGGUUUCCCACUGUUUGUUGAUGUUUGAGGUAUGACUGAAAAUGCCGGUGGUGUUGCAGUCCAAUGUGCUGAACUACUGAUGCUUGCCUGGGGUUAUGCUGGAUUUGGCAAACAUUUAUUGAGAGAUGAAGCCUGUUCCCUGGUAUAAGGAGUACUUAAACAGAAGGAGAUUUACGAUGCCGGUCAUUUUUCCACUUUUGUUACUCAUUAAGUGUGUGCAAGUAAUUUGAGCAAAAGUUUGUUUCGUUCUGUUUGUUGUUUUUGUGUCUUCUCGACAGAGUUUAUUACGUCUUAGGUCUACUUAGAAUGGGAAAAGAUUGUGAAAUGCUGAUUUGAGACAAGUUUGUAUGAAGUAUUUAAUUUUAUAUUACUUUAUUAGGAAGCACCCCAAAAAUUUCUAGAUUUUGCGUGUAAACGCUCUAAAAUGCGUGAAAAGUGGAAACGUUAAAUAAGGUUAGUUGAUAAGGUUAGUUUAGAUGCGCGCAUUUUAAUAAGUUAAAUCCUG
Molecule: long non-coding RNA, 3164 nt
Filed under: Daphnia pulicaria
Lineage: Eukaryota; Metazoa; Arthropoda; Branchiopoda; Diplostraca; Daphniidae
Description: uncharacterized LOC124337373, transcript variant X1
Source: RNAcentral